CCCUUAGAUGUUCUGGGCCGCACGCGCGCUACACUGAUGCAUUCAACGAGUUUUACCUUGGCCGAGAGGCCUGGGCAAUCUUUUAAACCUGCAUCGUGAUAGGGAUAGAUUAUUGCAAUUAUUAAUCUUGAACGAGGAAUUCCUAGUAAACGCGAAUCAUCAAUUCGCAUUGAUUACGCCCCUGCCCUUUGUACACACCGCCCGUCGCUCCUACCGAUUGAAUGUUCCGGUGAGCUCUUCGGACUGCGCGGUCUGCAGUUUCUGCGUUCCGUGCGGAAAGUUGCGCAAACCUUAACAUUUAGAGGAAGGAGAAGUCGUAACA
This 322-nucleotide ribosomal RNA is filed under the name uncultured eukaryote. Its description in RNAcentral is "partial 18S ribosomal RNA". It matches the Rfam family "Eukaryotic small subunit ribosomal RNA", at positions 1470 to 1796 of the family's 1831-position model. The record is from RNAcentral.